UGGGGAAAGGUUUACUGCCGAAGGAUCGGCCCGCGUCUGAUUAACUUGUUGGUGGGGUAACGGCCUACCAAGGCGACGAUCAGUAGCUGGUCUGAGAGGAUGAUCAGCCACACUGGGACUGAGACACGGCCCAGACUCCUACGGGAGGCAGCAGUGGGGAAUAUUGGACGAUGGGCGCAAGCCUGAUCCAGCCAUGCCGCGUGAGUGAAGAAGGCCUUAGGGUUGUAAAGCUCUUUUGUCCGGGACGAUAAUGAC
Molecule: ribosomal RNA, 255 nt
Filed under: uncultured bacterium
Lineage: Bacteria
Description: partial 16S ribosomal RNA
Rfam family: Bacterial small subunit ribosomal RNA
Source: RNAcentral